RNAcentral lists this ribosomal RNA (253 nucleotides) under uncultured bacterium. Its description in RNAcentral is "partial 16S ribosomal RNA". It matches the Rfam family "Bacterial small subunit ribosomal RNA", at positions 524 to 776 of the family's 1533-position model. The record is from RNAcentral.
UACGUAGGGGGCAAGCGUUGUCCGGAUUUAUUGGGCGUAAAGAGCGUGUAGGCGGCCAGGUAGGUCUGCUGUGAAAACUCGAGGCUUAACCUCGAGCUGUCGGCGGAAACCAUCUGGCUAGAGUCCGGAAGAGGAGAAUGGAAUUCCCGGUGUAGCGGUGAAAUGCGCAGAUAUCGGGAGGAACACCAGUGGCGAAGGCGACUUCCUGGCCUGUUCUUGACGCUGAGGCGCGAAAGCUAGGGUAGCAAACGGG